This 501-nucleotide ribosomal RNA is filed under the name uncultured Gemmatimonadota bacterium. RNAcentral's name for it is "bacterial SSU rRNA". It matches the Rfam family "Bacterial small subunit ribosomal RNA", at positions 355 to 858 of the family's 1533-position model. Lineage: Bacteria; Pseudomonadati; Gemmatimonadota. The record is from RNAcentral.
UGGGGAAUAUUGCGCAAUGGCCGAAAGGCUGACGCAGCGACGCCGCGUGUGGGAUGACGGCCCUCGGGUUGUAAACCACUGUCGGAAGGGACGAAUGCCCCGCAAGGGGAGCGACGGUACCUUCAAAGGAAGCACCGGCUAACUCCGUGCCAGCAGCCGCGGUAAUACGGAGGGUGCGAGCGUUGUCCGGAAUCACUGGGCGUAAAGGGCGCGUAGGCGGCCCGGUAAGUAGGGGGUGAAAUCUUGCGGCUCAACCGCAAGGCUGCCUCCUAGACUGCCAGGCUCGAGCACAGUAGAGGCAGGUGGAAUUCCCGGUGUAGCGGUGGAAUGCGUAGAGAUCGGGAAGAACAUCAGUGGCGAAGGCGGCCUGCUGGGCUGUUGCUGACGCUGAGGCGCGACAGCGUGGGGAGCAAACAGGAUUAGAUACCCUGGUAGUCCACGCCGUAAACGAUGGGCACUAGGCGUCGGGGGGAGCGACCCUCCCGGUGCCGUCGCUAACGC